This 521-nucleotide ribosomal RNA is filed under the name Bifidobacterium adolescentis. RNAcentral describes it as "partial 16S ribosomal RNA". It matches the Rfam family "Bacterial small subunit ribosomal RNA", at positions 165 to 697 of the family's 1533-position model. The record is from RNAcentral. Lineage: Bacteria; Bacillati; Actinomycetota; Actinomycetes; Bifidobacteriales; Bifidobacteriaceae.
AAUGCCGGAUGCUCCAGUUGACCGCAUGGUCCUCUGGGAAAGCUUUUGCGGUAUGGGAUGGGGUCGCGUCCUAUCAGCUUGAUGGCGGGGUAACGGCCCACCAUGGCUUCGACGGGUAGCCGGCCUGAGAGGGCGACCGGCCACAUUGGGACUGAGAUACGGCCCAGACUCCUACGGGAGGCAGCAGUGGGGAAUAUUGCACAAUGGGCGCAAGCCUGAUGCAGCGACGCCGCGUGCGGGAUGACGGCCUUCGGGUUGUAAACCGCUUUUGACUGGGAGCAAGCCCUUCGGGGUGAGUGUACCUUUCGAAUAAGCACCGGCUAACUACGUGCCAGCAGCCGCGGUAAUACGUAGGGUGCAAGCGUUAUCCGGAAUUAUUGGGCGUAAAGGGCUCGUAGGCGGUUCGUCGCGUCCGGUGUGAAAGUCCAUCGCUUAACGGUGGAUCCGCGCCGGGUACGGGCGGGCUUGAGUGCGGUAGGGGAGACUGGAAUUCCCGGUGUAACGGUGGAAUGUGUAGAUAU